GAGUAGCCACGGGCGCGAUCGGGGCAGACGUCUCCUCCUCCAUGAUCACUUUGGGAGCGGGGGGAAGACUUUGCCCUGCCGUGAGAGCUGGUCUGCGUUUUCCAGGCGCGGCGGCGGCGGCGGAGCAGCCGCAGCAGCCGGGUCCGAAUCGGAGCGGCCACAGCCUGGGGCGUGUGCGCCCCGCGCGGAGCGGGCUCGGGUUCCCCACGGAAUGUCCCCGGGGCGCCCGGCGCGCUGACCCCCCAGCCGCCUCCGCCUUCGGCGCCUGCUGCCUCUCUCCGGCGGGCGCGGUGUUCGGGACUGCAAGCUUCCCGGCUCCUGGGCAGUGGGGAAGCCCCCGGGGGCGGGUGACCUCAGCUGUCCACGACCCAGCCCUCCCCCGUGCGUAUCUUGCUUAAGAUGGCAGCGGAGUCAGGGGAACUAAUCGGGGCUUGCGAGUUCAUGAAAGAUCGGUUAUAUUUUGCUACUUUAAGGAAUAGACCAAAAAGCACAGUAAAUACCCACUAUUUCUCCAUCGAUGAGGAGCUGGUCUAUGAAAAUUUUUAUGCAGAUUUUGGACCUCUGAACUUGGCAAUGGUGUACAGAUACUGCUGUAAACUAAACAAGAAACUGAAAUCAUACAGUUUAUCAAGAAAGAAAAUAGUGCACUACACCUGUUUUGAUCAACGGAAAAGAGCAAAUGCAGCAUUUUUAAUAGGUGCUUAUGCUGUAAUCUACUUAAAGAAGACACCAGAAGAAGCCUACAGAGCACUGCUAUCUGGCUCAAACCCCCCCUAUCUUCCCUUCAGGGAUGCUUCCUUUGGAAAUUGCACUUACAAUCUCACCAUCCUCGACUGUUUGCAGGGAAUCAGAAAGGGAUUACAACAUGGAUUUUUUGACUUUGAGACAUUUGAUGUGGAUGAAUAUGAACAUUACGAGCGAGUUGAAAAUGGUGACUUCAACUGGAUUGUUCCAGGAAAAUUUUUAGCAUUUAGUGGACCACAUCCAAAAAGCAAAAUUGAAAAUGGCUAUCCUCUGCACGCCCCUGAAGCCUACUUUCCUUAUUUCAAAAAGCAUAACGUGACUGCAGUCGUGAGGCUGAACAAAAAGAUUUACGAGGCAAAGCGCUUCACAGACGCCGGCUUCGAGCACUAUGACCUCUUCUUCAUAGACGGCAGCACGCCCAGUGACAACAUCGUGCGAAGGUUCCUGAACAUCUGCGAGAACACGGAUGGGGCGAUUGCGGUUCACUGCAAAGCUGGUCUUGGGAGAACAGGGACAUUGAUAGCCUGUUACGUCAUGAAACACUACAGGUUUACACACGCGGAAAUAAUUGCUUGGAUCAGAAUAUGUCGGCCAGGCUCCAUUAUAGGACCGCAGCAGCACUUCCUGGAAGAAAAACAAGCAUCGUUAUGGGUCCAAGGAGACAUUUUCCGAUCCAAACUGAAAAAUAGACCAUCCAAUGAAGGGAAUAUUAACAAAAUUCUUUCUAGCUUGGAUGAUAUGUCUAUUGGUGGAAACUUAUCUAAAACACAAAACGUGGAAAGAUUUGGAGAGAAUAACUUAGAAGAGGAUGAAGACGUGGAAAUGAAAAAUAGUAUAACCCAGGGAGACAAACUACGUGCCUUAAAAAGUCAGAGACAGCCACGCUCCUCACCAUCCUGUGCAUUUAGGUUGGAUGAUACGAAAGGGCACCCAAGAGCAGUGCCCCAGCCUUUCAGAUUGACUUCUUCCCCACAAGGAUCUUCAUCUACUUUGAAGACCUCAAAAGUGGCUCUGUCCCCCUCAGCGACGGCCAAGAGGAUAAACAGAAGUUCUUUGUCCUCAGGUGCCAGUGUAAGAAGCUUUUCCAUAAACUCCCGGCUAGCCAGUUCUCUAGGGAACUUGAACGCUGCAACAGAGGAGCCAGAGAACAAAAAGGCCUCCUCGUCCUCUAAGGCGGGUUUCGUAGCCAGCCCGUUCACCAACCUCUUGAAUGGCAGCUCCCAGCCGUCUGCCAGAAAUUACCCAGAGCUCAACAACAAUCAGUACAGCAGAAGCAACAGCACCAGCGGGAGCACCGUGAGCAGCCAGCCGAGCCCCCACGGCGCCGUCAAAGCGGAGGAGCACAGCCCCGUUCUUCGGCCCGCCUACCCCGGCCUCUCUUCUUCCUCAGCGAGAUUCCUGAGCCGUUCAAUCCCCGUAAGUUCGCAGACAUCACCUCCUGGUCCUCAGAACCCUGAACGCAACUUUUGUGCCUUGCCUCCCCAGCCGAGGCUGCCGCCAAAGAAAUUUAAUAGCGCCAAGGAAGCCUUCUGAGCGAUGCCUUCCCUCUGUGCUGUGAACCUGUCUAUGCACGUACAUUCGGCUGGCUCCUCUGCAAUCCCUUCAGUCUGAAUAUGUUCAUUACUAAGGCCUUGCCACUCCGACGAAGGCUGUUCCACUCUUAGACACAGUGUCUUCAUCUGGACGAGCAAUGUAGAGAGAAAGCCACUGCUGUUCGAGGGAUAUUUCUGCCUUCUUACCUUAAAUUAAGGAGAGCACUCACAUAAGACCUUCAAGAGACUUGAAACCAGAAAACUCUGGUUAAUGACUACUAUAAAUGCACUGAAACUAUGUUUAUGGAGAUGUCAAUGCUUUUUAAGACCGUUUUAAUGUUGAAUUUGGUAUUUUGAAAGGUUAUUUUUAAUGUAUUUCGGUAAUACAUUUGCUACUACCUUUACAUGUACAGUGUUACAUUAUGUAUGUAUUGUGAACUUUAAAAGACUAUUUUGAUAAAUUUAUAAAUCUAUAAAAUUAUGUAAAAACUAGACUCUAUUUUGACUUAGAUUUUCUUGUCGUUUGCUACCAAAAAUUUGUAUUUUGAAUUUAUUUAGUAUGGUUUUGUCUACGAUGAAUAAAUAAUUCCUCUUUAUUAAGAAAAAGUAAGGGAGAAAGUUUUUAGAAAGUGAUUUUUUUAUGUCCCCUAUGAAUAGGGCAGAUCAGUUCAUUCUUUUGGGAAGUCAGUCUAAUGUAAUGAGUUUAUGCAAGUUUAUCUCUGGCAAGAGGAUAAUCGUUUGAUAUGGCUUGUUCAGACCGUUUCCUUUCCCUUUUGUUUUUGUUGCUCAGCUGUUUAGUUUCGCAUCCUUGUGGGGCUUUAACAUAAUUUAACAUCCAGUUGAAGAUCAGAAUUCACUGAACGUUUCUCCUGAAAACACAGUUUUUCUCUAUGAAAUGACUCAACAUUCCAAAUGCUUUUAUUUCUUUCUUCCUCUCGAGAGAGUUCUUAACCCAGUUAGAAUAUUUUGCUUUUGGUACGAGGUUGUUGUCUGUAACCACACGUGGUCUGGCACCAGUUUUAAAUCAAUGAAGAGAAAAAACUGAAUAAGAUGCUGCUGUUUCUCUGUAUUAAAGGAGAUAUGUUUGUAACAGA
Lynx canadensis (Canada lynx) is the source of this 3370-nucleotide RNA transcript. It is a transcript of the gene named cell division cycle 14A, with no coding region annotated. Lineage: Eukaryota; Metazoa; Chordata; Mammalia; Carnivora; Felidae. The transcript has 16 exons. The record is from RefSeq and is a predicted model, not a curated record.